AGACCCGAAACCCGGUGAUCUAGCCAUGGGCAGGUUGAAGGUUGGGUAACACUAACUGGAGGACCGAACCGACUAAUGUUGAAAAAUUAGCGGAUGACCUGUGGCUGGGGGUGAAAGGCCAAUCAAACCGGGAGAUAGCUGGUUCUCCCCGAAAGCUAUUUAGGUAGCGCCUCGUGAAUUCAUCUCCGGGGGUAGAGCACUGUUUCGGCUAGGGGGCCAUCCCGGCUUACCAACCCGAUGCAAACUGCGAAUACCGGAGAAUGUUAUCACGGGAGACACACGGCGGGUGCUAACGUCCGUCGUGAAGAGGGAAACAACCCAGACCGCCAGCUAAGGUCCCAAAGUCAUGGUUAAGUGGGAAACGAUGUGGGAAGGCCCAGACAGCCAGGAUGUUGGCUUAGAAGCAGCCAUCAUUUAAAGAAAGCGUAAUAGCUCACUGGUCGAGUCGGCCUGCGCGGAAGAUGUAACGGGGCUAAACCAUGCACCGAAGCUGCGGCAGCGACACUGUGUGUUGUUGGGUAGGGGAGCGUUCUGUAAGCCUGUGAAGGUGUGUCGUGAGGCAUGCUGGAGGUAUCAGAAGUGCGAAUGCUGACAUAAGUAACGAUAAAGCGGGUGAAAAGCCCGCUCGCC
RNAcentral lists this ribosomal RNA (630 nucleotides) under Salmonella enterica. Its description in RNAcentral is "partial 23S ribosomal RNA". It matches the Rfam family "Bacterial large subunit ribosomal RNA", at positions 711 to 1338 of the family's 2925-position model. The record is from RNAcentral. RNAcentral also lists the same sequence under 2 other names. Lineage: Bacteria; Pseudomonadati; Pseudomonadota; Gammaproteobacteria; Enterobacterales; Enterobacteriaceae.